This 463-nucleotide ribosomal RNA is filed under the name Haptophyta environmental samples. Its description in RNAcentral is "SSU rRNA". It matches the Rfam family "Eukaryotic small subunit ribosomal RNA", at positions 432 to 900 of the family's 1831-position model. Lineage: Eukaryota; Haptophyta. The record is from RNAcentral.
GCGCGUAAAUUGCCCGAAUCCUGACACAGGGAGGUAGUGACAAGAAAUAACAAUACAGGGCUCUUCGAGUCUUGUAAUUGGAAUGAGUACAAUUUACAUCUCUUCACGAGGAUCAAUUGGAGGGCAAGUCUGGUGCCAGCAGCCGCGGUAAUUCCAGCUCCAAUAGCGUAUACUAAAGUUGUUGCAGUUAAAACGCUCGUAGUCGGAUUUCGGGGCGGGCCCGCCGGUCUGCCGAUGGGUAUGCACUGGCGGGCGCGUCCUUCCUCCCGGAGACGGCUGCUACUCUUAACUGAGCGGUGGCCGGAGACGGGAUAUUUACUUUGAAAAAAUCAGAGUGUUUCAAGCAGGCAGUCGCUCUUGCAUGGAUUAGCAUGGGAUAAUGAAAUAGGACUCUGGUGCUAUUUUGUUGGUUUCGAGCACCGGAGUAAUGAUUAACAGGGACAGUCAGGGGCACUCGUAUUCC